This 253-nucleotide ribosomal RNA is filed under the name uncultured bacterium. RNAcentral's name for it is "partial 16S ribosomal RNA". It matches the Rfam family "Bacterial small subunit ribosomal RNA", at positions 524 to 776 of the family's 1533-position model. The record is from RNAcentral.
UACGAAGGGUGCAAGCGUUACUCGGAAUUACUGGGCGUAAAGCGUGCGUAGGUGGUUCGUUAAGUCUGAUGUGAAAGCCCUGGGCUCAACCUGGGAAUGGCAUUGGAAACUGGCGACCUAGAGUGCGGUAGAGGGUAGUGGAAUUCCCGGUGUAGCAGUGAAAUGCGUGGAGAUCGGGAGGAACAUCUGUGGCGAAGGCGACUGCCUGGACCAGCACUGACACUGAGGCACGAAAGCGUGGGGAGCAAACAGG